Molecule: ribosomal RNA, 480 nt
Filed under: Bacillus sp. enrichment culture clone A4k
Lineage: Bacteria; Bacillati; Bacillota; Bacilli; Caryophanales; Bacillaceae
Description: bacterial SSU rRNA
Rfam family: Bacterial small subunit ribosomal RNA
Source: RNAcentral
ANCUUGCUUCUAUGACGUUACGGCGGACGGGUGAGUACACGUGGGCACCUGCCUGUAAGACUGGGAUAACUUCGGGAAACCGAAGCUAAUACCGGAUAGGAUCUUCUCCUUCAUGGGAGAUGAUUGAAAGAUGGUUUCGGCUAUCACUUACAGAUGGGCCCGCGGUGCAUUAGCUAGUUGGUGAGGUAACGGCUCACCAAGGCAACGAUGCAUAGCCGACCUGAGAGGGUGAUCGGCCACACUGGGACUGAGACACGGCCCAGACUCCUACGGGAGGCAGCAGUAGGGAAUCUUCCGCAAUGGACGAAAGUCUGACGGAGCAACGCCGCGUGAGUGAUGAAGGCUUUCGGGUCGUAAAACUCUGUUGUUAGGGAAGAACAAGUACAAGAGUAACUGCUNGUACCUUGACGGUACCUAACCAGAAAGCCACGGCUAACUACGUGCCAGCAGCCGCGGUAAUACGUAAGUGGGNAANCGUUU